CCUUCGAUAGCUCAGUUGGUAGAGCGGUGGACUGUAGAUAAAAUAGCAAAGAUGUAGGAAUCCAUAGGUCGCUGGUUCAAAUCCGGCUCGAAGGA
This is a non-coding RNA of Musca domestica (house fly), 95 nucleotides long. NCBI's taxonomy places the organism in Eukaryota, Metazoa, Arthropoda, Insecta, Diptera, Muscidae. The record is from Rfam.